GAGGUCCAAAGAGCAUAAAGGUAUGAAACCUGGGUGGGGCAAGUCUCUUUGUUCCACACAGUGAGUAAGCCAGCAAACGGGAUCAAGAAGCAGCAUGGCUCCAGGGGCAUGGAAAAAGGCAUGUGCUGGGCCUGGAUAAUGGCAUAGCAGACGCCUUGUCUCGUUUCCAGUUUGACUGAUUUCAAGAGCUUGCACCAGGGCAGAUGAACCUGAGCAGAUGCCGCUGGCUUUCUGGAACCUCGGAAUAUGAUGUGGUUGGCGGAAUGGAGAUUUUUGGCUCCAGGCUUACAAGUUGUUUAUUUUGUUUUCUUUUAAGAAGUCUUGUCAAUUCAAGGAUCCAGAGAAUGGGUUGCCUACAUUGACCUACCUGGGCAUUCAGCUGGACACCAGGGAGGGCGUAUCUCGGCUCCUAUACGACCCUCCGUGGAGGGCGGUUGUUGCAGUACCGGUCAAGGACAAUACAGCUGCUGGUGCUCCUUGAGGAUUACACAAGGAACAAUGGGUUCUUCCUCCCCAGAGGACAUUUGGAGAUGUCUGGGAACCCAGCGGGGUUGCAGGGGAGGCAGCAGCAGGGAGCCAACCCCCCCCGAUUCUCAUAGCCCACCUUAACCCUUUUACGAGGGUGGUGGAUGGGUCUGCCUUGGGCUCUUGCAUGGAGAAGAGAUCUGGAUUUCCAGGGAAAUCUCAUCCAAGUCCUGGUGGCAGUUGAGCUUGGUGCUGUACACAAAAAAAGGUUUGAAAGUGACCUUUUUGGCAUAAAUCCGAUGCAGCUUGUGAUGAUUUCCUGAUGGUGAACCUCACAGGCAGUUCACUCCAGUUCUCGCACUAAUAUCCACCUGAGCAGGAAAGCAAAGCAUGAACCUGGCAUGGAGACUGAGCUACCCUCUCCCACUGCUCAGGGUGAUCCCUUCAUGUCAGCGAUGGGUCCGUGUAAGGAAGCUUGCCCUGCUUCUGUCAGCACUGUUCCGGUUUUGAGGACAAUCAGUAGAGUUUGGGUUCUACUACUAUCAAUUCAGGGGCAGUAACAGUCCUUUAAAAUUUUGUUUUCAUAAAAAACAUUUUAAAAUAUUAAGGAGAAUUCUGACUAGAAAUGUGAACUCUGAAGCCAAUUCUUCCCCAUUCAGGUAGAAUUUGCCAUCUUCUUAUCCUUAUCCGUAUCUUAUAGACUCCAUGUGAGAGAAAAACCUAUGUCUGACUUUCACAAUCAAGCCUCAUCCUGGCAGGAUAAAGUAAUGUAUAAUCCAGGCCCAUAUUUUUCACUCUUUAACAGUCCAAUGCUUUUUGUCCUUUACAUCAAAGGAAAAUAAUCAUAAUCCACAGAAAAUAUGAAAUUUAAGCUAUGAAAACCCGUCUCAGAUUUGUAUGAUAAUUUAAAAGUUGUUUGUUUUUUAAGAGUUACACAUUUCACAACCACUUUGCACAAUGAUGCUACCUUUGUGACAAGUGGUCACGUGCUUUAAUCAAAACUGAUAUAUAGUUAGGGGGGUUGUUUUAUGUUUUAAGUGCAUGUAUUUGCAAUUGUGAAUGUAUCUGCUAAUCAACAACUUUCAACUGACCUAGUACCUGUAAGCAAAACAAAUUUUCCUUUCACACCUAGGAGGCAGCCUACUUAAAUGUUAUUAUGGCAUUUUUCUUAGGACAAUCCAGUGCCUUUUGGCACAGACCCGAAUAGGAGGGCCGGCCGCGCCCCGCCCCAGCUCCAGCCCCAGCUUACCUGCUGCCUCCGUUUCAGGCUUCCC
This is a long non-coding RNA of Chrysemys picta bellii (western painted turtle), 1739 nucleotides long. RefSeq lists it as uncharacterized. NCBI's taxonomy places the organism in Eukaryota, Metazoa, Chordata, Testudines, Emydidae. The record is from RefSeq and is a predicted model, not a curated record.